RNAcentral lists this ribosomal RNA (484 nucleotides) under uncultured Pseudomonadota bacterium. RNAcentral's name for it is "bacterial SSU rRNA". It matches the Rfam family "Bacterial small subunit ribosomal RNA", at positions 355 to 857 of the family's 1533-position model. The record is from RNAcentral. Lineage: Bacteria; Pseudomonadati; Pseudomonadota.
UGGGGAAUAUUGGACAAUGGGCGAAAGCCUGAUCCAGCAAUGCCGCGUGAGUGAUGAAGGCCUUAGGGUUGUAAAGCUCUUUUACCCGGGAUGAUAAUGACAGUACCGGGAGAAUAAGCUCCGGCUAACUCCGUGCCAGCAGCCGCGGUAAUACGGAGGGAGCUAGCGUUAUUCGGAAUUACUGGGCGUAAAGCGCACGUAGGCGGCUUUGUAAGUUAGAGGUGAAAGCCUGGAGCUCAACUCCAGAAUUGCCUUUAAGACUGCAUCGCUUGAAUCCAGGAGAGGUGAGUGGAAUUCCGAGUGUAGAGGUGAAAUUCGUAGAUAUUCGGAAGAACACCAGUGGCGAAGGCGGCUCACUGGACUGGUAUUGACGCUGAGGUGCGAAAGCGUGGGAGCAAACAGGAUUAGAUACCCUGGUAGUCCACGCCGUAAACGAUGAUAACUAGCUGUCGGGGCUCUUAGAGCUUCGGUGGCGCAGCUAACG